Molecule: ribosomal RNA, 163 nt
Filed under: Genista cf. monspessulana AK-2011
Lineage: Eukaryota; Viridiplantae; Streptophyta; Magnoliopsida; Fabales; Fabaceae
Description: 5.8S ribosomal RNA
Rfam family: 5.8S ribosomal RNA
About the family: 5.8S ribosomal RNA (5.8S rRNA) is a component of the large subunit of the eukaryotic ribosome. It is transcribed by RNA polymerase I as part of the 45S precursor that also contains 18S and 28S rRNA. Functionally, it is thought that 5.8S rRNA may be involved in ribosome translocation.
Source: RNAcentral
AAGACUCUCGGCAACGGAUAUCUCGGCUCUUGCAUCGAUGAGGAACGUAGCGAAAUGCGAUACUUGGUGUGAAUUGCAGAAUCCCGUGAACCAUCGAGUCUUUGAACGCAAGUUGCGCCCGAAGCCAUUAGGCUGAGGGCACGCCUGCCUGGGUGUUGCACAU